Molecule: microRNA precursor, 201 nt
Organism: Oryza rufipogon (brownbeard rice)
Lineage: Eukaryota; Viridiplantae; Streptophyta; Magnoliopsida; Poales; Poaceae
Rfam family: MIR812 microRNA precursor family
Source: Rfam
GGUGAGCGCAUCCUCCGCCACCGCCGUCCGUUCGUCUUAUUUGAAAUUUUUUUUAUAGUUAGUAUUUUUAUUUUUAUUAGAUGAUACAACAUGAAAGUAGUUUAUUAGAUAUAUUUUAUCAUCUAACAAAAAUAAAAAUACUAAUAAUAAAAAGUUUUCAAAUAAGACGAACGAGUGGCGGUGGCGGAGGACGUGCUCACC